RNAcentral lists this non-coding RNA (126 nucleotides) under Candidatus Saccharimonadota. RNAcentral's name for it is "Candidatus Saccharibacteria SAM-I sequence". It matches the Rfam family "SAM riboswitch aptamer (S box leader)". Rfam says of the family: The SAM riboswitch is found upstream of a number of genes which code for proteins involved in methionine or cysteine biosynthesis in Gram-positive bacteria. The SAM riboswitch acts at the level of transcription termination control. The predicted structure consists of a complex stem-loop region followed by a single stem loop terminator region. The record is from RNAcentral.
UAAAUAUCAAGAGAGCAGGGAGGGAACGAGCCCAGUGAUCUGCCGACAACCCUUCGACAAGCUCAGGGUCGACCCGCUUAUCGAAAAGGUGUCAAGUCUCGCCCGUUUGAGCGGGAAAGAUAUGAA